This 1233-nucleotide ribosomal RNA is filed under the name Triticum aestivum (bread wheat). RNAcentral's name for it is "partial small subunit ribosomal RNA". Lineage: Eukaryota; Viridiplantae; Streptophyta; Magnoliopsida; Poales; Poaceae. The record is from RNAcentral.
GUUUUGCAUUCAGGCAGCGGCAACAAGAAUGCCUUCAAGGCACUUAUUGCUGCAGAGUACUGUGGGGUCAAGGUUGAGCUCCCCAAGAACUUCGAGAUGGGUGUAUCAAACAAAACCCCUGAAUUCAUCAAGAUGAACCCCCUUGGGAAGGUUCCUGUUCUUGAGACUCCUGAUGGUGCUGUUUUUGAGAGCAAUGCUAUUGCACGCUAUGUUGCUCGCUCAAAGGGUGACAACCUGCUUUGGGGUGGUUCUCUUAUUGAAUAUGCACGUGUUGAGCAAUGGAUGGACUUUGCUGCCACAGAGGUUGAUCCCAAUAUCGCAAGGUGGUUGUACCCAAGGCUUGGUUAUAGGGCUUUCAAUGCCCAGGAUGAGGAAUUCGGCAUUGCUGGAUUAAAGAGGGCCCUUGAAGCAUUGAACACACACCUGGCAUCAAACACAUUCCUUGUUGGGCAUUCUGUCACUCUGGCUGAUAUUGUCAUGACAUGCAACCUCUACCAUGGUUUUGCUCGGAUCUUGACCAAGACUUUCACAUCUGAGUUCCCUCAUGUUGAGAGGUACUUCUGGACCAUGGUUAACCAGCCUAACUUCAAGAAGGUCAUUGGCGAAUUCAAGCAGGCAGAGGUUGUACCUCCUGUUCAGAAGAAGGCUGCUCCUGCUAAACAAAAGGAGGCCAAGAAAGAGGCUCCCAAGGCGGCCCCAAAGCCAGCAGUAGUUGAGGCACCAGAGGAAGAGGCACCAAAGCCUAAGCCCAAAAAUCCCCUUGAUCUACUGCCACCAAGCAAGAUGGUACUUGAUGACUGGAAGAGGCUAUACUCAAACACUAAGAGCAACUUCCAUGAUGUUGCUGUUAAAGGUUUCUGGGAGAUGUAUGACCCAGAGGGCUACUCUCUGUGGUUCUGUGACUACAAGUACCAGGAAGAGAACACCGUGUCGUACGUGACCCUGAACAAGGUCGGCGGGUUCCUGCAGCGGAUGGAUCUGUGCCGCAAGUAUGCUUUUGGCAAGAUGCUCGUGAUUGGUUCUGAGGCGCCCUUCAAGGUCAAGGGGCUGUGGCUCUUCCGUGGGCAGGACAUCCCUGAGUUCGUCAUGAAGGAGGUCUAUGACAUGGAGCUCUACGAGUGGACCAAGGUUGACCUCUCUGACGAGGCCCAGAAGAAGCGCGUGGAAGCCAUGAUCGAGGACCUUGAGCCGUUCGAGGGGCAGGCCUUGCUGGACGCCAAGUGCUUCAAGUAA